RNAcentral lists this long non-coding RNA (7521 nucleotides) under Populus tremula. Its description in RNAcentral is "long non-coding RNA (PTRE_LNC002772)". The record is from RNAcentral. Lineage: Eukaryota; Viridiplantae; Streptophyta; Magnoliopsida; Malpighiales; Salicaceae.
CUUUGGUCCGCCACAGCUUCUGUCCCACCAACUGUAACAACUUCACAUUCAACAGCAACAUCCACAGUUACAGUAUUGCCUUCAUUAUACAUAUCUUCACAAGCAAAGAUUUGCUCCCAUUGUUGCUCGAGUGUCAUCUCAUAAUAGGUUGAAUGUUUCAUUUGAUCUUUAAGAGCUGUCCCUUCCUUGAUAAACAUGAAAGGGCAAUACCACUUCCCCGCUACUACAGGCGGGGAACAUUUUUGUGACACUGGGAAGUUGAAGUCCGGGAGGCGGGCGCGGAGAGCUGUGUUAAGGCCUGGUGCUUCAUUUAGCUGGAACUCCUUUGAAGUUGAGGUAUACACUCGCCAGCCCUUUCUCCUCAGGAAAUCUGGAGGAAACCCAUCUGAAGCUACGGAUUUAGCAGCAAAAUCUCCCCGUUUACGGUGUUGAAUCUCAAAUUGCUGAUAAAUGUUUCUUGGGUCCAAAGGUUGCGGUUUUAAAUCAGAUAUACGGGUGCAGAAACAGCAUGUUUUCAUAUCCUCUUCCUUGGAGUUUAUGUAAGCUUCCCUGAAAGCCAAUAUGAGUGUGGAUUUAUUAAGAAUUGGCUAAUUAAAACGAGCGAGAAAAAAAAAAGGAAAUGUUUGCGCCCAUUUUCUUAAUCCAGAAACGCAGCGGUGAUUCAUAUGUUAGGUUCCCAGCUGACGCAAUCUUCCAUGUUGUUUGAGAUCUUGAAUUGAUUUCAAAGAUAUAGAGGAUAUGGGAAAAAAAAAAAGCAAAAGAAAAACAAAACAAGGUGAAGUUGGAGGUAGAGCACACACAUACCCUUUAUGCUUCCCUUUUCUCUCAACCACGUAGUAUUGAUUGGAAGAUAAUGGUGAUUGAGAACAGGAGUGAAAAGAACACGGUUCGUAUGAACGUGUUGAUUCUCCCCAGUUUGCUGCGUAUACGUAACCAUCAAGUUCUUGUUUUGAGGAAAAGGCAGGCCCCAGCUUACUCGAUCACUCUUGAACAAUCCACAACAGAAGGUAGGCACUGCAACUUCUUCAUCCUGGAUUACCAAUACACCAGAAUUUGGACCCUCGGAGGCGGUGAUGAAAGAGCUGAAGGAUCUCUUAGAUACAUCGAAGAGGCCUUGUCACAUACAUUUCCUCUCAAACUUUUCUCUGCGUAUAGUGACCAAGCAAAAAUUCUUUAUCUUAUCCUUAAUUUCAAAUUUGUUUUAGGAGUCAAAUCAUAAUUUGUCAAACUAUGGAGAAUUAAAAUGUAAUUUUAUAUAUCAGGACCAAACUGAAAUUUUAUAAUUUUCAACCGUGAAACUACUUUAUCUAGAAUUUCUAGCAAAGAUGUUCCAAAUUUCUUAGCCAUUCUUGCCCAUGACACAUCAAAGAAACAAAUCAACCUCAUGUUAUUAUCCCUAACAAAAUCAUUCAAAAUCAAUUAAUUCAACAUUAACCCAUAUUAAUCAUCAAUUAUUGAAACUUAAAACAUAAAUUUCAAAUAUUUAGAAACAUUAACACGUUAAAAAAAAAAUGUAAUGAGCAACAAAAACAAAAAUCAUGUAUAUCAAAUUACGAUCUCAACACAAAAACGUAAUUUAUCCAUCACCUCAUGAUCCUUUUUUCUUUUCCUUCCUCCUCUUUUUCUUUUGGUUUUCUCCGUUUCUGGUUUCUUCUUCUUUUUUCUUUUUUAUCUCUCUCUAUAUAUCAAUCUAUGUGAAACGACUGACGUGUCCCCAACCAUUACCAACCACAUAAGUUGUUCAAAUCGCGAUUUAACACGGCACGGAAAAUACAAAACAAACUCGGAUCGUAAAAACAGAUCGUAAAAUCGUAAGGAAUUUUAAAAUAUAUUAACAAAAAAUUCAUGAUUCAAAUAAAAAUUCAUACAUAUACUAUACAAUUAAUUUUUUCGUAAAAUCAUUCUAUCAUUCCAUUAAUAAAAUCAAUUUCAUCAUUCCAUCAUAUACUAAAAUAGCAUCUUAAAACCAUUCCAUCAUUCCACAAUGCCAUACAGACACAACUAAUUCAAUCCAAUCCAAUCCAAUAGUCCACAGUAUACUGUUCCAUCAAUUCCAUUUAAUUCAUUCCAUCAAUUCAAGGGACAGAAAAACAUUAUAAAUGGACAAAUUACAGGACCGGCAAAAUCAUUCCAUCAAAAAUGUAUAAACGCCUGAAGCAGAAAAAUUAUUUGAUUAACAAUUGUAGCUAUGAAUUCCAGCAAGGUUCAUACAACAUCUACUCUCCAUUAUGCUAAACUUCUCAAGAAAAGAAAAUUAUGACUAUAUAUGAAGGGUUAGCACUACAACUCAAAGAAUCUUGUAGAUAAAAGAAGAUGGAAAGCCUAAAGAAUGAACGAGCAGUACAAAUAAAAAAGUAUAUUAGUACUUGAUAUCAGGAUUUUAGACUAAUAAUUUGUCAUGAUCUACAUAAGUUUGCAGUAACAGUUUCUUCUAGGGAGAAGAAUCUGAUAGCCUGUCACAAAGACAUUUGCAAUGUAUCAUCAAGCAUUCCCCAGUUCUUUUGUCGUCACAGAUUCUUCACAACUUGUCACUGCAUCACUUUUCAUCAAACCGACAGUCCACGUAUCAAAAUUUUGAAUACAUCCUAGGAAACAAAAUUCAUCCCAGAGUUAAGGUCAAUACAAUAGCUAGGCAAAAUGGAACACGUUACAAUCUAACUUUGAUUUUGAUCCAAAUUUUCAUGGAAGUGAACAAAGUGGAAAAUUAAAGAUAAAUGGUUGUACCUUGAUUGCAUUAGUGCUCUCUAGUUCAGUGAUUUUACCAUCUUCUUCAUGAUUUUCAUGUAGUGGCUCUUCGUUUGCAGGCAUUAUAAUUUAUUUUUAUUUUUUUGAUUUACGUGGGUAUCCGGGCCAGCUUGCGCGCACCACGACUAAUUUCACGGCUCGCUGAACAUCCUGCAAACCCAGUGAGCAUGUAAGGCACUGCGGGAGUGACAGGCGUACACGCUGAGGCUUGAACCCAGGAUGCAGAGGUAAGGAAACUCCUUGCCACCGCUGGGCUACAAGCCUCGGUGUCAGGCAUUAUAAUUUCAUUCCACCACUGGUUGAUCUUCGUCAUGUUGUUCCUCAUUUUCUUCAGCCACUAUUAUUAAACACCAAUUCCAAAAUUUUCAUUAUAAUUAGACCCAAUUAUCUUAAAGAACAAUUAAAAUUACACUACAAGAUUUAACAGUUUUACCGAUGAAAUUUUUCCGUCGGCGUAAGACACAUAUUCCAUCGGUAAUUAAUUUACCGACGAAAUCACCGACGAAAUUCUCCGUCGGUGAAUUUUUGUCCGUCGGUAAUCCGUUGGUAAUAAAAAAAUAUAUUACCGAUGGAUUUACUGGCGGAAGACGCGUCGGUAAAAAUAUUUUUUUAUUACCGACGGAAAUUCCGUCGGUAAUUAUUUAAAAACAUUUUAAAAAAAUUCAUUUUAUAAAAUUAUAAAAUAUAAAUUAACAUAAAUCAACAUUGUAUAAUAUAUACUCAAAAUGCUUGGAAAAAAGAAUAAGAAAAUCAACUCAAACAAAUUUGCAACAAAUAAAUAAAACAAAAAUUAAUUCAACUAAAAAAAUUCAUAUGAAAAAAAUGAAGUUGCAAUUGCUAAAAAUUUAAAAAUCCUAUAAAUAAAUCAACUAAAAAUUGAUCUCAUAUGAAAAAAAAAUCUCACAACAACAUUUAUACAAUUAUUAAGAACAAAAUCAAUUAAAAAUAAAUAAAAAACAAAUAUAGUGAAAAAAUCAUGAAAAAAUAAGAAAAAAGAAAAAUCUUACCUUAAUGUACUUGCAAGUGAAGCUAAGGAAAAAAAUUUGUAAAGCAUAUUAAUUAAAAAAAACUAAGAGGAUAAAAGAAGAAAGAAGAAGAAGACAUACCCGAGCAUGGAGGAAAAGAGAAGGAGAUGAGGAGAGAAAAGAAGAAAAAAUAAUAUUGAUGUUUUUUACAUAUAGUGAAGAAGAAGAAGUAGAAGAAGAAGAAGAAGAAAUAAUGAGUCUGUCUCUUGUGAAAUAAGCGGAUUCAGGUUUUUUAUUGGGGCGCGUUACCGACGGAUUUACCGAAUAAUUGAAUAUUAAUAUUUUUUUAAUUAUUCCAUCUGUAAUUUCGUAAAAAGUUUUCAGAAACCGCCAAAAAUUACCGACGAUUUUUCAAUCCGUCGGUGAUUCCGUCUGUAAUAUUUAAAUGAAAAUUUUAAAUCAAUUGAAUUUUUUCAGAAAACCGCCAAAUAACACCCAGAUUUUCAAUCCGUCGGUGAUUUUGUCCGUAAAGAACAACAAUUAACAGUGCAAUUGGAAGGUGAACAGUUCUGGAGCUCUCUGGAAAAUACCGACGAAAAUUCCGUCGGUAAUUCCCUUUGUAAUUGACAUGAUGAACAUGUUCACAGUUUACCAACGGAUUUACCAAAUUACCGACGGAAAAUUUCGUCGGUAAUUCUGUUGGUAAAAAAUGACACGUUAUCAUUUUUUUUGCUUUGUUUUAAUUUUUUUUCCCACGGUAAUUCCCUCGGUAUUUCCAUUUGUAUUUAUUGAUUUUCUGGUAGUGUUAACCCAAGAAUCCAAAAAAGUAAAAAAAAAUUAAUAAUAAUAAUAAAUAAAAAAACCACAUAUCUGCUUCUCUAUAAGUAUUUUAGAAAACCAUUUUAAUACUUCGGUGUGAGCUUACAACCAUCAAGCCUUAGACUGUUGAAGCAGUAAAUGGAGGGACAAUGAUUUGUUCUUCUCCACGUAAGGAUUUCAGGUCGACGAUGCAGGGAGUAAAACCAGAGGCGAAAAAGAAAAAACAAAGCUUGGGAAUAAAUUCUUACCUUAUUCUCGAUAGCAAGCAAAACAAGAGGCACUGAGAGAGUGGAGAGUGAAAAGUGGAGAUUGGGGAUAAUUAGAUUCAGAAUUUCAAAUCUUAAAUAUUUAGCAGACAAUUAGUAAAAAUGGAGAGUAAAGAGUACUGCGAACAGGGAAAGGGAGGGGUGGGGAAGGGAAAGGGGAAACUGGGGAAGGGGAAAGGGCAACGGGAAAGGGUGGAGGCGCUGCAACUGUUUUAUAUUUCACGUGAAAUCGUGAAAUCGGUUCGUGUUUAAUGUUUUUUCCGAGUUAGACUGAUUUUAUACAAGUUUGACCGGGUUUGACCGAUUUUACUGGUUUUCAAGUUUUAAAUCCGAUUUUGCACGUUUUAUAUGUUUUGACUCGUAAAAUGGUAUGAUUUUACGAGUUAAAACGUGAUUUUGAUAAUCUUGCAACCACAGCCAUGCACAUAAGGGCAAUACCGUCUGUUUAUCCAAACUUACAUAAGCAUGCAUGAUUAAUAAGAAACUGGUCCCUAGUUAACUUCCAUAAAUGAUGAAGCUUUUCAGACACGAAGAUUCGUGAGAUUUUCAUAAACAUUUGAAGACAUGAUGGAGCUCGUUAAUUUCUGGAUAUCAAGUAGCUCAAAAAUUCUGUUCGGGGAGUUGAAACAAAACGGCAAUCUUCCAUGCAAGUCAGAAAAGGUAUAGCGGGUUAACAAAAAAACUGAUGCUUAUAGCUACAUGAACCAAUCAAAACUUUUAAGGAGCAUAAAAGACUGUUCAAUCAUUCUCAGAUUGGCCUCAUAUUCCGACAUCUAUCAUGCAUGUAUAAUGUAUCGAGAGAGACCGAAGAGUUAGUAUUGUCAAUUAAAACCUAUUAUGAGGUUUGAUGCAAGCUUUGUGUCUGUCAAGAGCUUACAUUCAGCAGAACUAGACAUGCUAUUUGUGAAAGAUUGAACCUGCAGAGUUAGCUGUUGGAUAGUUUCCUUUCACUGUUUGAUUUAUUAUUUUUUUGUAAGGUCCUUUGGCCUUCAAUUUUUGGAUGUUGCAGAUAAUUUUGUUUUCACAUCAGUCCAAUCACUGAAAAUUGAUUCAUUCCUUGAAAUGAUAAUUCUCAAUUCUCUAUAAAGGAUCUAGUCCAUUUCCUCUUCCUUCCUUCCCUUUUCCUUGCCGAAAUCAUGUUUUUGUUAUUAGGCAUGGGAUGUUUCUUAAAGCAUUAUUUAUCCCAUUGUCUCAAUCUUCUCGUGUAUAUAUAGAGAGAUAAGGAAGAUAUCAAUCUGAAAAGUCAAUAGCACAGACAAUUUAGACAAGUAAUAAGAAUCCUACAAGAGGAAAAGUAGAUCAAAAGGUUCUGCAAUGUUGAUACUUGGUCAAACCGGUUGAUUUGUUAUAUUUAGUUUUAAAAAUGUACAAUAUUUGUCGCCAACAGUGCAGCUUUGGAUUUUGGAAUAUUGAUUCUUCCAGCCAAAAAUACUAGGUUAUCUUAUUAGCUUAAUCGUUAUCUUAUUAGUGGGGGCAGAGGAAGAAUAUUUAUGAUCAUCCGUGCCCAAUCGUUAUCUUAUUAGCUUUGAAAUCCGUGUCAUUGUGCAAUUUUAAUCAAUUUAUUAGCUCAACCUAUAAUUUCAAAAUAGUUUAUUCACUGCAAUCGCUUGAAUUUAUAAAAAAAAAAAAAAAAAAAAAAACAUCAAGGCAGACCAAAGGGUUUUUUUGGUGUGCAGUAAUGCAGUUUGUAAUGUUUUUCAAAGACAUUUUUUAUAUCUUUUAAUUUUUAACCUUAACACAUCAAAUUAAUUAAAAAUAUUAAAUAAAUAUUUUUAAAAUAAAAAUAAUUUAAAAAACUACUACAACCACGGUAUCAUAGAUAGGCUAACACUACACAUCUUAUAACUGAAAUGGUACCACGUGUAACAUAUGAAUACAGCAAAAGAGAGGAAAAACAUAAAACAUUCUCAUUCUUCCCAGUACAUUAAAUCCCUCAACCAACACAUAGCAUCCAGAUUUCCUCUCUCUACCAAUCCCACUUGCUCACAAAUUGUUAAAAAUAAAACCAUCUGCUCCUUGUUUUUUUUAUUUAUAUAUAAUUCUAAUUGAUUAAAAAAAGUAAAAACGAGGCAUAUAUAAUUUUAAUAAUUCCCAUCCGCUUCUAAUGCGAUGAGGAUGCCUGAAAUCAUAGGUCAGCAAUAAGCUUCCAUCCAUUCUCUUCAAGGCAAACCUCUCAACCAAAAUAGCAACCAAAUCUCCUCCACUUCCCCUUGCCAUCAAAAACCUCUUCUCUCUUCACCCUCACCUCCCUUUCAUCCCCGCUAGCACCCCCUACUCCUUGCACCCACUUCAUUCCCUCCACAAUCUCCAUUCUCAGUCCCACACUUGCUUCUGAUCCUGUCACUCUGUUGAAACUCCUGAACCACGUCACCCCAUCAACAACAUCCCUUUGGUCCGCCACAGCUUCUGUCCCACCAACUGUAACAACUUCACAUUCAACAGCAACAUCCACAGUUACAGUAUUGCCUUCAUUAUACAUAUCUUCACAAGCAAAGAUUUGCUCCCAUUGUUGCUCGAGUGUCAUCUCAUAAUAGGUUGAAUGUUUCAUUUGAUCUUUAAGAGCUGUCCCUUCCUUGAUAAACAUGAAAGGGCAAUACCACUUCCCCGCUACUACUACAGGCGGGGAACAUUUUUGUGACACUGGGAAGUUGAAGUCCGGGAGGCGGGCGCGGAGAGCUGUGUUAAGGCCUGGUGCUUCAUUUAGCUGGAACUCCUUUGAAGUUGAG